GCCGGGGUGGCGGAAUGGUAUACGCGGACGGCUCAAACCCGUCUGGGCGCAAGCCCGUAGGGGUUCGAAUCCCCUUCCCGGUACCG
This 86-nucleotide transfer RNA is filed under the name Propioniciclava sinopodophylli. RNAcentral's name for it is "Brevilactibacter sinopodophylli tRNA-Leu". It matches the Rfam family "tRNA". Rfam says of the family: Transfer RNA (tRNA) molecules are approximately 80 nucleotides in length. Lineage: Bacteria; Bacillati; Actinomycetota; Actinomycetes; Propionibacteriales; Propionibacteriaceae. The record is from RNAcentral.